This 253-nucleotide ribosomal RNA is filed under the name uncultured bacterium. RNAcentral describes it as "partial 16S ribosomal RNA". It matches the Rfam family "Bacterial small subunit ribosomal RNA", at positions 524 to 776 of the family's 1533-position model. The record is from RNAcentral.
UACGUAGGGGGCAAGCGUUGUCCGGAAUCAUUGGGCGUAAAGCGCGUGUAGGCGGCUAGGUAAGUCUGCUCUGAAAGCCCGGGGCUCAACCCCGGGAGGCGGGUGGAUACUGUCUAGCUCGAGUCCGGAAGAGGAGUGUGGAAUUCCUGGUGUAGCGGUGAAAUGCGCAGAUAUCGGGAAGAACACCCGUGGCGAAGGCGGCUCUCUGGGACGGUACUGACGCUGAGACGCGAAAGCGUGGGGAGCGAACAGG